RNAcentral lists this small RNA (76 nucleotides) under unclassified sequences. RNAcentral's name for it is "NAD+-I sequence". It matches the Rfam family "nadA riboswitch". The record is from Rfam by way of RNAcentral.
GGCUCCAACAUCCCCGCAGGCUGGGCGCUGAAUCGGACCUGAUUCCCCGACGACGCGCAGUGAGUCUGCUGUAGCC